RNAcentral lists this ribosomal RNA (328 nucleotides) under uncultured Anaerolineaceae bacterium. RNAcentral describes it as "bacterial SSU rRNA". It matches the Rfam family "Bacterial small subunit ribosomal RNA", at positions 1041 to 1382 of the family's 1533-position model. Lineage: Bacteria; Bacillati; Chloroflexota; Anaerolineae; Anaerolineales; Anaerolineaceae. The record is from RNAcentral.
UUGCAUGGCUGUCGUCAGCUCGUGUCGUGAGAUGUUCGGUUAAGUCCGCUAACGAGCGCAACCCUCGUCGUAUGUUAUAUGUGUCAUACGAGACUGCCGGUAAAAAGCCGGAGGAAGGUGAGGAUGAUGUCAAGUCAGCAUGACCUUUAUAUCCAGGGCUACACACACGCUACAAUGGUCUGUACAAUGGGUAGCCAAGCCGCGAGGCGGAGCCAAUCCUGAAAGCAGGCCUCAGUUCAGAUUGCAGUCUGCAACUCGACUGCAUGAAGCCGGAGUUGCUAGUAACCGCAGGUCAGCAAUACUGCGGUGAAUACGUUCCCGGGUCCUU